GAAAUAUUCUCAUGUCUCCUUUUUAAGCUAAACAGUAGUAUGCUAUGCAUCCUUUUCCUUUGUAUCUCUAUUUUAAUUCAAUGUAUCCUGCAGAUAACUCCAUACUAUAUAGAAAAUCUUAUUUUUUAAACAUAUUUUUAUUAUUAUUUUUACAGAUAUAAAAUACUCUAUCAUGUGGAACAUCAUUUUUAUUCAACUAGUCCUGUAAUCAGACAUCUGGGUUAUGUCCAUUCUUUACCUAUUACAGCAAAAUGUCAAUGAAUCUUUUGUGCAUAUGUAUUUUCAUAUUUUGUCAGUGUAUCUUUGGAGUGGUUUCCUGCAAGCGGAUUUGUUGGAUUAAAAGCUGAGGAAGACUGGCCCUGAGCUAACAUCUGUGCCCGUCUUCCUCUACUUUAUAUGUGAGACGCCUACGACAGCAUGGCUUGCUAAGCGGUGCCAUGUCCACACCCGGGAUCCAAACUGGUGAACCCCGGGCCUCUGAAGUGGAACGUGUGAACUUAACUGCUGCGCCACCGGGCUGGCCCCAAAAGCAACUGAUGGAUAUGCAAACUCUGUCUUGUUUGGUUGAGAUUUAAUUGACUUCCUUCUCCACUGUGGAAAAAGUAGUUUCAUUACCUACCUGUAAAUUGGACUGGAUCCUGCUACCUUGCACAAGUUGUCAACCCUUACCAAAUUUGCAAUUCUUCCAGUUCCUUUGCCAUCUGGCUGCUGUCCUCCAACGCAUGUUUCCACAUUUCUCCUUCCUUCCUAACUUGGCACCACCAAGAAGAAAAACCUGACUGCGCAGAUCCUUAUAGAGACUCUACGUUAUUUAUUGCUGGCCUUUCCCUCCAGGAUCUGAAGAAACACUGAGAGCUAAAGCCUGUCGACAUGGUAUCAACCCUGAAAGACGUAUCACCACAGAAGAACAUGCAUGGGCUGGAUUUCUCCCUGAACAAGUCACUGUGUGGACCACUAAGGAAGUUUUGUGAAACGCUUGAGUUGUGCAUGUCCUUAUACAAGAAGUAACCAAGACUAGACAUCACUAAGAGCACUGAUGUCUUAACUUCAAGAAACUCAAUGAGCUGUGCUCCAUAAUCAAGAGUUCCAUCCACCAACCCUUGGAAUCCACUGGACUGAAUAUUCUCAGAGUUUAACUCCUGGCUCUUCACUUUAACCUAACUUUUUAUAUUAAUAUUUCUAUUUUUCAUUUAAGCCCUCUCCCGUUUAACAGGACUGAUCUCCAGGGUUCUAAGACAACUGACCUUGCCAUUACUUCUCAGUAGAGGAUUCAAUUAAUUUUGCAGGUACAACUCCAACAGGAGUCCUCACAAGAGUAUUUCUUAGACCCCGGUUCAUCUCACUGUGGAGAUUCAUGGUCACCUCUGAGUUGUUCAGCAGUGAAUGAUAUUCAUUUUUCUUGAACAAAAAGGUAGAGGGGACUGACAAUGUUGAACUUUACCUGAGCUCCAGAAAAUAGUGAAGGCUAAGAGAUCUCCCCAAAAUCUCCCACAAUUUUGUGUUCUGGAAAACAGCCUAUUGAAAAGAACCACCCUCCCGCAUAUGACUUAGAUGAGACUUGCUGUCCACUCUUUCUCGUGAGUCCUAGAAGACUCCUGGAGGUCUCCCUUGUUUACCUGUAACAAGGACAAAUAUAGACUUUUCCCCUUUUGCCUGAAACUGCUGACAUAACCAGACACAAAUCUGUCUCCUUUCACUCCUAACCAAUUCUCUAUUCUUUGUCUCAUGAGUGAUUAGCUAAGAUUAGAACUGUUUGUCCUCCUGAAACUAGCUAGACUCAGAGACAAACAUUUCCCAUUCAGCUAAUCACUGAAUUUCCCCUGAUGGCAAUUCAAUCCUAACCAUAAAUCCCCUUACUUGUAACUUGUCUGCUCCUCCUUGUAAAAGUCUAAGGCCAAACGACCUUCCAAGACACUCUGAUCUUUGCAUCUAGGGGGAGAAGGGGCUCUUCCUAUUGUAAUAGCCUGAAUGAAAUCAUCUCUUUAAUUGUCUGAUUCACUUUGUCUUAUGCAGUACCAAGGGGAAUUACCCAGGUGGCGUAGGGGAGUGGGUGCCAGGGGCAGUUGCAUUCCCUUUCUUUUCCACUUUCUAGACAAGUGAAAAAAUGGAGGCAAACAGCUAUCAUCUUAUAGAACUGUUAGGUAAGACUACAAGAGACACUGAUAUAUUCUGUUUGAGUAAUUUCUACUUUAGAGAAAUGGAAAACAGGCAGUUAUAUGUUUUUAAAGAAAUUUACAUUGUUCAGUUAUAGUGAAUAUUCCCAUUGACAAAAUAAAGAUUGUUUUAUUAUUUUUAAAUGCAUUUCAUUUAGUGCAUGCCUGCCCAUUUUUAAAUAAUACCCCCAUCACUCUGAGUAAGUAAGGGAGCUGGGGGAAGGGAGAAAAUUAUAUCAUAUCGGCUGAGCAUCCAGUAAGUGCCAGGCUGAGCUAGACAUUUAAAUUCACUUAAUCCUUUUAACAACCUGUGAAAGGUAGGUAUUAUCCCUACAUUAGAGACAAGGAACUGAGACUUAGAGGUGUUAAUAUCCCACCUAGGAUCACAUGCCUAGCAACCAGUAGAGUUUCAUGCUUUCUCAAUAUCGGAUAUGGCUUCAGAGCUAAUUGUUUGGAAAUCAGUAAACAAUCUAUGAAUUUAGAAUUCACUCCUAAGACAAACACAUAUCUUUGCCUUCUACUUGUG
Equus asinus (donkey) is the source of this 2679-nucleotide long non-coding RNA. Lineage: Eukaryota; Metazoa; Chordata; Mammalia; Perissodactyla; Equidae. The record is from Ensembl.